UAACUGUGGCAUUUCUGAAUAG
This 22-nucleotide microRNA is filed under the name Rattus norvegicus (Norway rat). Its description in RNAcentral is "rno-miR-881-3p". Its record names the gene rno-miR-881-3p. The record is from miRBase by way of RNAcentral. Lineage: Eukaryota; Metazoa; Chordata; Mammalia; Rodentia; Muridae.